This 254-nucleotide ribosomal RNA is filed under the name uncultured bacterium. RNAcentral's name for it is "partial 16S ribosomal RNA". It matches the Rfam family "Bacterial small subunit ribosomal RNA", at positions 524 to 776 of the family's 1533-position model. The record is from RNAcentral.
UACGUAGGGUGCGAGCGUUAAUCGGAAUUACUGGGCGUAAAGCGUGCGCAGGCGGUUAUGUAAGACAGAUGUGAAAUGCCCGGGCUUAACCUGGGAACUGCAUUUGUGACUGCAUGGCUAGAGUGUGUCAGAGGGGGGUAGAAUUCCACGUGUAGCAGUGAAAUGCGUAGAUAUGUGGAGGAAUACCGAUGGCGAAGGCAGCCCCCUGGGAUAACACUGACGCUCAUGCACGAAAGCGUGGGGGAGCAAACAGG